GACGAACGCUGGCGGCGUGCUUAACACAUGCAAGUCGAACGGUGACGAGGAGCUUGCUCCUCUGAUCAGUGGCGAACGGGUGAGUAACACGUGAGCAACCUGCCCCAGACUCUGGGAUAACAGUUGGAAACAGCUGCUAAUACCGGAUACGAGACGGAGAGGCAUCUCUACCGUCUGGAAAGUUUUUCGGUCUGGGAUGGACUCGCGGCCUAUCAGCUAGUUGGUGAGGUAAUGGCUCACCAAGGCGACGACGGGUAGCCGGCCUGAGAGGGCGACCGGCCACACUGGGACUGAGACACGGCCCAGACUCCUACGGGAGGCAGCAGUGGGGAAUAUUGCACAAUGGGCGAAAGCCUGAUGCAGCGACGCCGCGUGAGGGAUGACGGCCUCGGUUGUAACGUACUUCUACGCACGGAGGAAGACGAAGUAGACGGUACCGUCGCAGAAGAAGACGACCGGACCGUAACUAACGUACGCCGACGACGACGCCGCCGGUAACGUACACGAACG
RNAcentral lists this ribosomal RNA (510 nucleotides) under uncultured bacterium. RNAcentral describes it as "bacterial SSU rRNA". It matches the Rfam family "Bacterial small subunit ribosomal RNA", at positions 28 to 535 of the family's 1533-position model. The record is from RNAcentral.